ACACCUUCAUUUGGCCUUCUCCACACUCAGAAACCGAGCUCUGUAUGCAGCAGAAAACAGCUCAGCUCUCUCCACAUUGCAUGGACGCAGGUUUUUAGAACAGAAAAUCAUGGACUUGGAGAACAGACUUAUGGUUGCCAAGGGGAACUUCCUACCUACUUGGAGUGGUUUGUAGAUUCAGUCCCUGGCCUCACACAGUGGAUUAAGGAUCCAGCGUUGCUGUAAGCUGCGGUGUAGGUCUCAGAUGCAACUUGGAUCUGGUGUUGCUGUGGCUAUGGCAUGAUUCAACCCCCGGCCCAGAGACCUCCGUAUGCUGCUGGUACAGCCGUGAAAAGAAAAGAAGAAUCUUGAGAUGGAGAAAUUGCCCUGGAUUGUUCAGGUGAGCCAGAUGUGAUUAUAUGAGUCCUAAAAAUCAUAGAAUCUUUCUCACCUGUAGUCAGAGAGAAAUGUGAAGACAGAUAUGGAUCAUAUGGAUGUGAUGUUACUGGCUUUGAAGAUGGAGGGAGGAGCCUUGAGUCAAGGAAUGAGGGCAGCUUCUCAAAACUCGAAAAGGCAAGGACGUGGAAUUCCCCCUUGGGACUCCAGGGGGAAUGUGGGUCAUGUCCACAACUUGGUUUUAGCCUGUUAAGACCCGUGUUGGGUUUCUGACUUCCGGAACUUUGAGAUAAUAAAUUUAUGUUGCUUUAAGCCACUAAAUUGUGGUAAUUUGUUACAGCAACCAUGGGAAACUAACACACAUGAUAUUUGUGGUAUUUGUCGUCCCUGUAACAUUAGUAAUUAUAUUUGCGGUGGUGAAAAAACAGGCUCUGGAGUCACGCAGGCUGGGUCAAGCUUUCCCUGUUCUGCUCACCAGCCAGGUGGCUUUAGGCAGGUAAACCAGCAAACAUGCUAAGCUUUGAUCUCCUGAUCUGUAAGAAGAUAGAGCUUCCUUCCAUGGGUGGUCCUGAGGUCUCAGUAAGAUCAUAUGAAGGCGUGCUUAGAGUACCCAGCACAGAGUUAAGGCUUCAGGACGUGUAAGCCACCAUGAGUAUCGGGACUGCUGAUUGUGUGACUAUUUCUUUUCCCCCACGAGGCUAUAAACUCUGUGAAGAUAGGCGCCAUGACUUUAUCGCUCCUUGCUAUAUUUCCAGGGACAAACACAGAGCUGGAUGGAGUAAGUAAUCAGUGUAGAAAUGGAUGGGUGAAUGAAUGGGUGAAUGAAUGAAUGGGUUUAUAUGUAAACACUCCAUGUACCAAGCAUUGCAUAGAGGCAAAAUUCACUGAGUUUACUCAACAAUACUUACUUAGCACUGCUGUUUACACUAGGCAUUAUGCCUGGUGCUGAUGGAUAGAAAAAGAAAAACAAAAAGUGUCCCUCAUUGUCCAUGAGCCCAGAUUCUCAGGCAGUACACACAAAGUGACAGCAAUAGACAGUGUGGCCUGAGUGUCAUGUAAGUGAAAAAAUAGGGAACACUCAACAGGCAUAAAAGAGGAAAUUAUUUCAUGUGUCUUGGGCGAUCUGUGAAUAUUUCCUGGAGAUGGUGAGAUGUGAGAGGAUUUUGACUCAAGACAAAGUUUGCACUGGACAAGAGGACGAGAGGAAGAUCCUUCUGGGGGCUGGCAAAGGGACCUGGCAAAGGGGCCUGGCAAAGACACACUGAAGACUGAAGAUGCAUUAAUUCUCUUAAAGAACUAGUAUUGGGGAAUAGAGUUAGUUUGGGCCAGUUUUUAAAUGCUUUGAACACCAACUUCCCCUUAAAGGGAAGGAGGAUCCAUAAAGAUUUCUAAUCCAGGGGCAAACACAGUGAAAGAAGUCUGUAAGUCUAUAGUGGGAUCUGGCUGGACAAACAGCCACUCUGUCUGAUACUCCAAGUGGAAGUUCAAUUCCUAGUUUUAAAAAAUGGAGAGGAAAUUAGAUGAUGAGACAACAGGAAUUUGCUUCUCUUUACUUUCAAAAGCUCUCUGGGAUUUGUUAUUUUCAGGGUGCCAUCUGGAUCCUCACCCUAGGCAGCCUUGAUACCCCGUCUGCUUUAUUCGCUGGCCUGGUUAACACCCUCUACACUCACCGUCACUGGCCCCUGGACUGGGGCAGCUCUUCUUCGCAGGUUCCCACAGAGAAUUUAUCCUAGUGCUGCUCCCAGGGGUGUUCACAUUUCUGUCUUGAGGUCUGCAGGGCAGUGGUAGGCUCUGGUCAUUCUGCAGAUGCUGUCUCAGGGCAUCAAGAGUAGAAUGGAUGGUGAGUUGGGACUUUGGAAGUCCUUGCCAAGAACCUCAAAAUCUUCAUCCUUUGGUGAUAACCCUCCCCACCUGGACGUAAGACCAGCUUCCCUAAAAAAGUGAGUUUUGUCCCAUCAGUGGCUGACAUAGACACGGGGACCAAGCCCAAACCUAUCCUGGGAAUCUCUGCUUGCAAAGAGGCAACCACAGAAGACCACCUUGCUUUGAGACCCCAGUCUCUAGUAUGAAAUAUUCACUUGGGAAAAGUGUCAGACUAGGGCUUCUUUCUAUUACAAAUAGAACCCACUUAUUUCCUAAACGGCUUCUGAAAUCGGCCAUGUGCACUUUUUCCUCUUUUAAUGUUUCUGAAUCCUUUUGAAAUUUGCAGUGAUUGAGACAGGUUUUUGAGUUUAGUAUUACCACUCAUGUCACAUUUUCACCUGAUUUCCAAUCUUUUGUGGUAUCCUUGAUUAAUAAGGCACUUGAUUUUAUCUUUUAUUGGGAGCCUUUGACUGCAGCAAAAUGUUGAAAUGAUUCAUCAGUCACAAUAAAAGACUUCAAAGGGAUCCAAGUUAAACCUCAGGAUUCUGAAGAGCAUACUAGACUAGUCAACUUCUUGUAUUUCAACUUCAGGACAAUGAGCCUAGUGGAGAAUUUUGCUAAAAAUGCCUAAUGAGCAUGUUGGUCACAUCUGAAAAUCAUCUGUUGUCCACAUGUUCAUGUUCAUCCAUACACGGUGUAUGCAUUUCAUCCAACAUCCAUUUAUUAUGUAGCAAGAUAUAGUUGAGGCUAUUUGUUUCCCCUGAUCCAUCCUCUGAACAUCAGAGGCCACUGUAAAAGAAAACAAAGUGAAUUCCUUAGGGUGGGAGCCAAGCCAGACCAAAACCAGAGAAACUACAUGGCACCUGCUUCAAGCUUUGUCCUCACGGGCACCGUUGGAAACAUAAAGUUGAAAUUCAUCAAAUGAUAGCUUUUACAUUAGCAAUUCAGAAAGCCUUUCUUUCGUACUUACAUGAAUUCUACCUUAUGAUUUCAAAGCAAGUGUUUGGACUCAGUGUUUUAAAAGACAAAAGCUAUUCAGUGUGUGUUUAGUGUUAAAAGAGAUGUUAGAAGUGAUAGUGAAGGCUGAGAAAUGAACACACAAUAGAAAAUAAAGAGUCUCUUUUUAAUAGAUCUUAAAAGUUCUCGUAACAAGAAAAAAUAUUCUAUGACUAUAUAUGGGGAUGGAUGUUAACUAGACUUAGUGCGGUGAUCAUUUCAAAAUAUUUACAAAUAUCAGAAUCGUCUUGUUGCAUGCAUGCAACUAAUAAUAUUUCCUUUUUAAGAAAGGAAAGAAAGAUCUCUCUCUCUCUCUCUCUCUCUCUCGUCUUUUUAGGGUUGCACCUGCGGCAUAUGGAAUUUCCCAAGCUAGGGAUCGAAUCAGAGAUGUAGCUGCUGGCCUACACCACAGCCACGGCAAUGCAGGAUCCAAGUCAUAUCUGUGAGCACAGCUCACAGCAAUGCCAGAUCCUUAACUCACUGAGUGAAGCCAGGGAUUGAAUCCCCAUCCUCAUGGAUACUAGUCGAGUUCAUUAUCACUGAGUCAUAGUGGGAAGGAACUCCCAAGAGUUCUCCUAUUUAAACUUAUAUUUAAUGAAAACUUACAUUUAAAGUGUAUAGUUUUCCAUUUUUUUCAUAGAUUUAAUGCCAACGGAAGGAACAAGAAGUACAAACCAUAAAACACAUCUCUGGGGUGUCCACAAGCUCAAAAGAAAAUAGAUACCUAAGUGCCUAAGAUGCUGGGCAAACUGUGAUAAGUAGAUAGCCAUGCAUUGAGACUGCAAAGAAAAGGCAACUGGGAAUCCCUCAAAUGGCAUUUCCAUUUAAAUUAGGCUUUUAAAGGUAAGUAGAAUUUUAAUACCCAGAGACGAAGUCCCCAGUCAAGAACAGUACGGCCAUAAGCCAAAAGCAUAAGAAGGACUGCAUGGCUCUAAGCUGAGGGUAGUUGGGGGUGGGGAAGGCAGACACUGGAAGUUAGGCGGGUGUGAAGCACCUGCCACUAAAAUGGUAAAUUAGGGUCAGGUUGUAAAGGGCCUCAAAUGCUGUGCUAGGGAGUUAGGACAUUUCUCUGCAGGAAAUGGGUCCAGAGAAGGAUUUGACCAAAGAAGUCCAGUAGAAAGAUGAAUCCAGUGUUAACUCCAAGGACAAGAACUGGGAAGAAUGGGGUGGAAAAAUUUGCCAGGAGACAGGGGUGCUGGCUUACAUGAAAAUCAGGUGGGCUCCAGCCUGCAAAAGCAAUGGCGGAACAAGGAAAAGAGAAGGGGUAAAGUGCAGUGGCGAGUAGGCGUUUGGUAAAUGACAUCAUCUGUGCUUCAAAGGUGAUUCUAAAUUUUCUGCCUGGGUGGUAGGGGGAGGAGAUACAGGGAUAAAAUUAAGGAAGAGCAAGAACUCAAGAGAAAAUGCAGAUUUUUAAAACAAAAAAGUAAUUGAUGCUUCCUUUAAAAUGAUGCUUGGGAGUUCCGUGUUGUCUCAGCAGGUUAGGAAUCCAACUAGGUUCCAUGAGGAUGUGGAUCCGAUCCCUGGCCCUGCUCAGUGGGUCAAGGAUCCAGCAUUGCCUGAGCUGUGGACUAGGUCACAGAUGCGGCUCGGAUCUGGCAUUGCUGUGGCUGUGGCGUAGGCCGGCAGCUGCAGCUCUGAUUCCACCCCUAGCCUGGGAACCUCCAUAUGCCGCAGGUGCUACCCUAAAAAGACAAAAAAAAAAAAAAAAAGAUGUCUGAUCUGAGUCUGAAAGUCUUGAGGUUCACUGGUUAAAAAGAGAAAGGGGACACACUCUAGCCAGAGGGGAAAGCAUGAGCAAAGCUACAGAGGUGAGAACUCUGAGGUUGUCAAAAUAGGAAGGAUGAGAGGGUGGAGGCAUAAAAUAGGGCCAAGUGGCAAGGGGGGUGGAGAGGGGCCAGUGCGAGAAAUGUUUAGGAGGCAAAAUCAAUAACAUCUGAUGAUGUGGAGGAUAAGGGAGAGGGGGGUCAAGAAAGGAUCUCAGGUUUCCUUCUUAAGUGACCCCUGGGAUUUCGAUCCCACAUUUGAAACGGAGAAUAAAUGUGGAAGAAGAAACAAGUCAGGGGAAAGGAUUGACACCACUUAGCUGGUGCUGCAUUUAAGGUGUCCGGGACAGUUUCCAUCCAGAGAUGGAAGUGCAGUGCUGAGCCUAGGGAAAUAAAGGGCUGGUAUAAGGAUAAAGAUGUCGGGACUUUAGGAUGCAGGCAGUGAGUAAAAACGUGCAUGUAGCUGGUGUGACUUUGAGAGAGCAAAGAGGAAAGCACACAUACCUGUCUCUGCAGACAGAAGAUCCCUCCAAAUGAGCACCAUUUAGACGAGGAGAAAUCACCUUAAAAUAGUGUCAUAAAGAGGUAUCAAUAUAUAAGACCAAAGAAAACUAACUGCGGCGGAGAACACAUCAUUCAUUCUUUCGCAUCUGCCUGCUAUUCCCCUGACAAUUUUAAUCAUCUGGAUGAGCAAAAAUCUUGCCUUUCAUUAACCCCCCGGGUGAUAAAUGGAAAUCUCUUUCGACAGCCACCAGGAUAUCUGGAGCCAAGCUUCCUGCUUUUUUGUACCCACUAUCUCAUUUUAGUCAGCGCCGGAUCACACUUGGAACAUUCCAAUAUGGUACAGCAAUCUGAGAGGCAAUGCCAUUCGCAGAAGAUGUCAUUGAAGGCUCUACCUGCAGACAAGAGGGUUCUUCAUCCUGCGAUCUUAUUCAUAAAAAUUUAAGAGCUCAGGUCUCCUUGAUUAAUAAUAACCAGACCUUUAGGAAACAAAAAGGAUCUUAUUUAAAAGAGUUGACAAGGAGUUCCCGUUGUGGCUCAGUGGGUUAAGAACCCCACAGUGUUGAUGAGUAUGGGGAUUUGAUCCCUAGCCUUGCUCAGUGGGUUAAGGAUCCAUCGUUGCGGCAAGCCACACCAUAGGUCGCUGAUGCGGCUCAGAUCCUGAGUUGCAGUGCCUCAUGCGGGCACACAGCCCCAGUGUGACCCCUGACCUGGGAACUUCCAUAUGCAGGUGUGUC
RNAcentral lists this long non-coding RNA (6235 nucleotides) under Sus scrofa (pig). RNAcentral's name for it is "lncRNA (ENSSSCG00050005216.1)". Lineage: Eukaryota; Metazoa; Chordata; Mammalia; Artiodactyla; Suidae. The record is from RNAcentral.